Molecule: ribosomal RNA, 1534 nt
Filed under: Streptococcus pneumoniae
Lineage: Bacteria; Bacillati; Bacillota; Bacilli; Lactobacillales; Streptococcaceae
Description: bacterial SSU rRNA
Rfam family: Bacterial small subunit ribosomal RNA
Source: RNAcentral
AGAGUUUGAUCCUGGCUCAGGACGAACGCUGGCGGCGUGCCUAAUACAUGCAAGUAGAACGCUGAAGGAGGAGCUUGCUUCUCUGGAUGAGUUGCGAACGGGUGAGUAACGCGUAGGUAACCUGCCUGGUAGCGGGGGAUAACUAUUGGAAACGAUAGCUAAUACCGCAUAAGAGUGGAUGUUGCAUGACAUUUGCUUAAAAGGUGCACUUGCAUCACUACCAGAUGGACCUGCGUUGUAUUAGCUAGUUGGUGGGGUAACGGCUCACCAAGGCGACGAUACAUAGCCGACCUGAGAGGGUGAUCGGCCACACUGGGACUGAGACACGGCCCAGACUCCUACGGGAGGCAGCAGUAGGGAAUCUUCGGCAAUGGACGGAAGUCUGACCGAGCAACGCCGCGUGAGUGAAGAAGGUUUUCGGAUCGUAAAGCUCUGUUGUAAGAGAAGAACGAGUGUGAGAGUGGAAAGUUCACACUGUGACGGUAUCUUACCAGAAAGGGACGGCUAACUACGUGCCAGCAGCCGCGGUAAUACGUAGGUCCCGAGCGUUGUCCGGAUUUAUUGGGCGUAAAGCGAGCGCAGGCGGUUAGAUAAGUCUGAAGUUAAAGGCUGUGGCUUAACCAUAGUAGGCUUUGGAAACUGUUUAACUUGAGUGCAAGAGGGGAGAGUGGAAUUCCAUGUGUAGCGGUGAAAUGCGUAGAUAUAUGGAGGAACACCGGUGGCGAAAGCGGCUCUCUGGCUUGUAACUGACGCUGAGGCUCGAAAGCGUGGGGAGCAAACAGGAUUAGAUACCCUGGUAGUCCACGCUGUAAACGAUGAGUGCUAGGUGUUAGACCCUUUCCGGGGUUUAGUGCCGUAGCUAACGCAUUAAGCACUCCGCCUGGGGAGUACGACCGCAAGGUUGAAACUCAAAGGAAUUGACGGGGGCCCGCACAAGCGGUGGAGCAUGUGGUUUAAUUAGAAGCAACGCGAAGAACCUUACCAGGUCUUGACAUCCCUCUGACCGCUCUAGAGAUAGAGCUUUCCUUCGGGACAGAGGUGACAGGUGGUGCAUGGUUGUCGUCAGCUCGUGUCGUGAGAUGUUGGGUUAAGUCCCGCAACGAGCGCAACCCCUAUUGUUAGUUGCCAUCAUUUAGUUGGGCACUCUAGCGAGACUGCCGGUAAUAAACCGGAGGAAGGUGGGGAUGACGUCAAAUCAUCAUGCCCCUUAUGACCUGGGCUACACACGUGCUACAAUGGCUGGUACAACGAGUCGCAAGCCGGUGACGGCAAGCUAAUCUCUUAAAGCCAGUCUCAGUUCGGAUUGUAGGCUGCAACUCGCCUACAUGAAGUCGGAAUCGCUAGUAAUCGCGGAUCAGCACGCCGCGGUGAAUACGUUCCCGGGCCUUGUACACACCGCCCGUCACACCACGAGAGUUUGUAACACCCGAAGUCGGUGAGGUAACCGUAAGGAGCCAGCCGCCUAAGGUGGGAUAGAUGAUUGGGGUGAAGUCGUAACAAGGUAGCCGUAUCGGAAGGUGCGGCUGGAUCACCU